GCCCUUGCACGGCGCCCUGCUGCCGCCUAUCUUGAUCCUCGUUCGGGGCAACCCGGACUAUGGACAUAAACGCGCAGGUAAUAAGCGGAUCGGACCCGGGGGCGGUACCCGGCGGCUCCACCAUCCAUCCCUCGUUGGGGGCGAAUGGGGCCGAAACAGGAUCGACGAACGUCUAAAGCUGUUUGCUUUGUCUCGGUGAGGUACCACCGUUAUCGGUCCGAAAAGUACAGUUGCCAACGACAACCGUGCUCCGGUGGCUCUGGCUGCGUAAGCAGUUCGAGUUAUCGAAACCUAAGUCCUUGCGCUUAGCCGCGUAAGGCGGGGCCCCCAGGCGCCUGGCAACAGAAGCCUGGGACU
This 357-nucleotide transfer-messenger RNA is filed under the name Paracoccus sanguinis. RNAcentral describes it as "Alphaproteobacteria transfer-messenger RNA". It matches the Rfam family "Alphaproteobacteria transfer-messenger RNA". Rfam says of the family: Bacterial tmRNA, also known as 10Sa RNA or SsrA, is named for its dual tRNA and mRNA-like properties. Its role is to liberate the mRNA from a stalled ribosome. Lineage: Bacteria; Pseudomonadati; Pseudomonadota; Alphaproteobacteria; Rhodobacterales; Paracoccaceae. The record is from Rfam by way of RNAcentral.